RNAcentral lists this ribosomal RNA (590 nucleotides) under uncultured Burkholderia sp. RNAcentral describes it as "bacterial SSU rRNA". It matches the Rfam family "Bacterial small subunit ribosomal RNA", at positions 418 to 1003 of the family's 1533-position model. Lineage: Bacteria; Pseudomonadati; Pseudomonadota; Betaproteobacteria; Burkholderiales; Burkholderiaceae. The record is from RNAcentral.
UCGGGUUGUAAAGCACUUUUGUCCGGAAAGAAAACUUCUGUCCUAAUACGGCGGGGGGAUGACGGUACCGGAAGAAUAAGCACCGGCUAACUACGUGCCAGCAGCGCGGUAAUCGUAGGGUGCGAGCGUUAAUCGGAAUUACUGGGCGUAAAGCGUGCGCAGGCGGUUCGUUAAGACAGAUGUGAAAUCCCCGGGCUUAACCUGGGAACUGCAUUUGUGACUGGCGGGCUAGAGUAUGGCAGAGGGGGGUAGAAUUCCACGUGUAGCAGUGAAAUGCGUAGAGAUGUGGAGGAAUACCGAUGGCGAAGGCAGCCCCCUGGGCCAAUACUGACGCUCAUGCACGAAAGCGUGGGGAGCAAACAGGAUUAGAUACCCUGGUAGUCCACGCCCUAAACGAUGUCAACUAGUUGUCGGGUCUUCGUUGACUUGGUAACGUAGCUAACGCGUGAAGUUGACCGCCUGGGGAGUACGGUCGCAAGAUUAAAACUCAAAGGAAUUGACGGGGACCCGCACAAGCGGUGGAUGAUGUGGAUUAAUUCGAUGCAACGCGAAAAACCUUACCUACCCUUGACAUGGACGGAACCUGGCUG